AGUCUUAUAGUCAAAUAAAUGAUUUCAAAUUGCAAAUUUGGAGUUGGCUUAAGCCCUAAGGCUU
This 64-nucleotide transfer RNA is filed under the name Anthaxia chinensis. RNAcentral's name for it is "tRNA-Cys". Lineage: Eukaryota; Metazoa; Arthropoda; Insecta; Coleoptera; Buprestidae. The record is from RNAcentral.